UACGGAGGGAGCUAGCGUUGUUCGGAAUUACUGGGCGUAAAGCGCGCGUAGGCGGCUUUGUAAGUUAGAGGUGAAAGCCCGGAGCUCAACUCCGGAACUGCCUUUAAAACUGCAUCGCUUGAAUCCAGGAGAGGUGAGUGGAAUUCCUAGUGUAGAGGUGAAAUUCGUAGAUAUUAGGAAGAACACCAGUGGCGAAGGCGGCUCACUGGUCCGGCACUGACGCUGAGGUGCGAAAGCGUGGGGAGCAAACAGG
RNAcentral lists this ribosomal RNA (253 nucleotides) under uncultured bacterium. RNAcentral describes it as "partial 16S ribosomal RNA". It matches the Rfam family "Bacterial small subunit ribosomal RNA", at positions 524 to 776 of the family's 1533-position model. The record is from RNAcentral.